AUUGAACGCUGGCGGCAUGCCUUACACAUGCAAGUCGAACGGCAGCACGGGUGCUUGCACCUGGUGGCGAGUGGCGAACGGGUGAGUAAUACAUCGGAACAUGUCCUGUAGUGGGGGAUAGCCCGGCGAAAGCCGGAUUAAUACCGCAUACGAUCUACGGAUGAAAGCGGGGGACCUUCGGGCCUCGCGCUAUAGGGUUGGCCGAUGGCUGAUUAGCUAGUUGGUGGGGUAAAGGCCUACCAAGGCGACGAUCAGUAGCUGGUCUGAGAGGACGACCAGCCACACUGGGACUGAGACACGGCCCAGACUCCUACGGGAGGCAGCAGUGGGGAAUUUUGGAAAUGGGCGAAAGCCUGAUCCAGCAAUGCCGCGUGUGUGAAGAAGGCCUUCGGGUUGUAAAGCACUUUUGUCCGGAAAGAAAUCCUUGGCCCUAAUACGGUCGGGGGAUGACGGUACCGGAAGAAUAAGCACCGGCUAACUACG
This 483-nucleotide ribosomal RNA is filed under the name uncultured bacterium. RNAcentral's name for it is "partial 16S ribosomal RNA". It matches the Rfam family "Bacterial small subunit ribosomal RNA", at positions 30 to 505 of the family's 1533-position model. The record is from RNAcentral.